Spinacia oleracea (spinach) is the source of this 7223-nucleotide long non-coding RNA. RefSeq lists it as uncharacterized. Lineage: Eukaryota; Viridiplantae; Streptophyta; Magnoliopsida; Caryophyllales; Amaranthaceae. The transcript is spliced from 4 exons. The record is from RefSeq and is a predicted model, not a curated record.
AGUGAGCCAGUGACUACUGAAUUGGCCACAAUCAAAGUUUUGGGUUCAGACGUUCAGUUUCCCGUCAUUCUCUGAAUUUCUCCCCAAACUCCCUCCUUUCUCUUCUCUUUCCUCAUUUGCAUGUCUCCAUAGUUAUGAAAGGUUCCUUCUUUCCCCCAUUUUCUUCUAUAUUGGACUGCAAUUCUGCAACUUCCGUCAUGUCCUUCAAAGUCGAGGAAGGUAUUUCUAAUAAUAGGAGAAUUCAGGGGAAAGGGAAGAAGUGGAAGCUAUGGAGAGUCCAUUAGGAGAAUUGAGGACCCCUUUCGAGGUUUCGGAUUCGCUCAGUCUUCAAGAUCAUGCGUUUAGUGCUGCUGUUGGAGGAUUUUCAGGCUUGGUUUCUGUCUUAAGGGGACAAAGAGAGUUUCUUGAUCACUGACACAAGAAUGAUGUGAGUCGUGGAUUUUCAGCACUGUUUACUUGCAAGGAACUUGUAAGGAACUGUGAGAGAAGUCCGUCCAAGUUGGUAUCUGUCAGUUUGACUCAGUCCUAUACGAGGUAUGUUGUCUGCUUAACAUUUCAAAGUAUAUUAAAAGGUAUGUAUCCAUUAUAUGAUGAUAUACUGGCUUAUGCAUUCUCGUUCUUUUUCAUUUGAGUAAAUGUUGCAUCAGGUAUGCCAAAUAUUCAUUCUGCAAGUCUCUUACUUUGGCUUUGUGUGUAGCUAUAGAAGCUAAUUACAGUUUUUCUAUUUCGGGAAGGGGGGGGGGGGGGGGGGGUGAUUGGACUAGUGGACUUGAGCUUUGAAUCACACAUUAUACUGACGUAUGUUUCCUAUAUUCGCAAUGUAAACCAUCAGUGACUGACUAUUCAAGACAUGAGUUUGACAUUGAAUAAAUUGUUGCUUAAAAGUUAUCAUAGUUCGUAAAAGCUCAAUAAUGCAAGCUUUACGUGUUUAUACUUUAUACUUGAUGUUAAAUUAAAAUGAUUUCCACAAUGGACUUGUUUUAUUGCUGAAAACACCUCACACUUUGCGUCAAUUUAUUUGGCUUUGUAUUGUAUACCAUUUUGUUAAUGUAAUUUGAGAAUAAAUGUGAACUAUGCGGAGACUUGUGAGCUUGUGGUAGAAUAAAAAUGCAGCUCCUUGUUCGUGUUCUUUUGUCAUCAUAGAAACAGGAACCAAAGUUCUAUUGUCUAUUUUAUCGGUAGUAAGGUGUUAUCAAACUCCGUUUUGGAGCCUUCUACCUUUUACAAGAUCAAUUUUUUGGAUAAAGGAAACGGAAAUGACAAUUGCUAAAUGUUGUCUUGGGUUAAGUUUUUUUUCCCUGCCUUAAUGUUACAGUAGGUAGCUGUUGAUGGGUAGUGCCACUUUAUGAUCAGUAAUUCAGUAGUAUUGGGAUCUCUCUCCCGUAAGAUCUGAAAAUAUUGUUGUGGUUUAUUCUACUUCUUUUUAUCGUUUUGGGGUUUCAGAUUUAACUAUGAGAUCUAAUAACUUUGAUCACUCAUGGACUUGGUGGUAAGAUCAAUUUGAAAAGGUGUAUGGCAGACGAGCAGAAAAUUACAAAAUUAUACGAAGUAUUACUUUAAAGACCAAGGUAAAGAUACCAUAAAAGUAUGAACAAUUGACUUGGAAAUCGUGACGCAUUUGUUUGAAUAUGUUAAUUGUUACAUUCCAUUUCAUUUACGUGUUGUCUUCUCUUCAUGCAACCCUAUUUGAAUUCGAAUGUGAAUCACUGUUCUUAUUUUCUCGUGUAUAUGGAAGUAGUCAGCCAAUAAAUCAUUGUUAUUACUUAUUAGGUUUUGGACUCCGUUAUUUGUAGAAUGUUUUUGAAGUUUUGCACUUAUUAAUCUAUAGUAGCUGUUCUUGCUUAUACAUAUUGGUCUGUGGUAAGUACACGGCACUGCUUCAUAAUCUAAAGUCUGAAAUUUCUGGUUGAGGGGUGCAGCUAACACUGCUUCAUAAUCUAAAGUCCUUCAAGACUUCUUAGAACCAACUCGUAGUAAACUUAAGUCCUCUUACUCUGAAAUACCCAUGAUUUAAGUUCUAUAAUUGCAGACCAUUGUGGUCUGAUGUUGUAAGACCACUAUCUGAUAGCUUGUUCUUAGUUCAUCAAAAUAUUUGCUCUCUUUAAAGUCACAAUAAAAUAUACAAGUAGUUUAAAAACAUCAAAGUGUUGGAGCAUAUUUUCACGUAAGAAGGCCUGUGGUUAUUACCUUCUGAAGAUGUACAUCGAUCCCUUUUGAUUUUUUUGACAUGCUUAAAGGGUAAAUUUCAUUGAAUCAUGCUUUUUUGGUAAGAAAUUUCUUGGUUCGCAAUGAUGAUAUUUGUUACCUUAUCGACUUACCGUUCGCACCCCAAAGGAUCUUCAUAAAAGGAAGCAUAUCAUGUCUGAUUUAUUUAUUUUUUAAAAAUACUCCGCAUUUUAAAUUUUGUAUUUUAUGUAAUCAAUGGGGUGCUUUAAAAUUUUUAACCUUUCACAUGUAAAAUACCACCCACCUCAGCAUGACGUGGUGGAAACUCUAUGCCCUAUUCCUAAACCCUAAUUCAUUCCCUAUAUAUAUGAUGCUCACACAUCUCUGAAUCAGUGUGCUUCUAUUGGCCAUCCUUCUAUCUCUCUCUUCUCUCUCUUUCUUUGGUUUUCUUUGUCAUUGUUCUUCUGAGUAGCAAGUUAGCAUGGCGAUCCAAAAGGAUCGAAUUGCUUUCAUGCUUGCUACCAUGAAACGUCCAAGGAAGAAGAAAAGAAAGAAGAGAUCUAUGUUCCAACAUAUAUCAUAUUGCAUCAGCGAUUUACCAAAAUAGCCCCUAAUGAACUGGAGUUGUCGCCGCACUUGGAUCCACUCUCCUUUCACCAUGUCCAGAUCCGAUCUUUCAAAAUUUCGUCAUUGGUCGAGUGUUGAAUGUUCUCUUACAAAAUCAACCUGGCUGAAAACGAAACAAGAUUGAGAAUGAGAUGGAUUUGGUGGAUCCCUCUGCAGACAUGAUCUCCUUCCUCGAGUACUCCAGUGAGAUGAAUGCAAGUAGUUCUUCAAAGGCCUGAUCUUUGCUAAGAGUGAUUUCAACUCGGCCUUGUUAACUCACCACCUGAAGUGACUACAUAAUUACAUAUGUACAUGUCAGUGAUUUCAACUCGGCCUUGUUAACUCACCAGCUGAAGUGUACAUAACUACAUAUGUAUAUUUUUUUUUACGCAGAAAUAGGAAAUAUAUUAAUAGGAGGUAACUAGGACCUCAAGAACCAGAAAGUAUAGAUACAAAGGUGCCAAAAGCAGCCCACAGCCAAACCCAAAAACUUGUAAUCACGACUAUGACUGAAACCAGGAUAAAGCUUAAAAUGUUUAGCAAAAUACAAACGCGAAAUUGGAAAAUUAGAGUAGUUAGCAAUAUAAACACAGAACUUCAAACCCAAGUCGAAAAGGAACUCAAGGCUAGACAGCAUUGACUGGGACCAACUCCUUCUCAUAGGCUUCCUUUACAUUAGCUGGAGGCUGAAAAUGGUAGACCUUUGGAACAGUCAUGAUGCGUCCAAUUUCAGCGAGGCCAUGAGCAACUUGGUUAACAUCACGUUUGACAUGAAGGAGAGAAACACACCAGUUCCUCUUGAGGAGUGAAACAAUAUCAUUGAUGAUAGGAGCUGGGUGAUGAUCUUGGUAGCCCUUUGGAUUCUCUAACAUGUAUUUUAAAGCCGCCGCAUCUAUCUCCAAUUCCAGAUGAGUAAUCUUCCUCUCCCAAGCAAUCAGAAGCCCUUCCUUAACUGCAGUUAAUUCCGCUGAAGCAGGACCAAGAGAUUUGAAGCGAGUGGAGAAACCAAUAUGCCAAAGGCCUCUAUCACAUCUGAUCACACCACCUCCUCCAGCAUUGUCAAUAUCAAUCCAGGAACCAUCAGUGUUCAAUUUGAAAAAAGAGACUUGAGGGGGAGCCCACUUCCUUGGUGAAGGAGGAUUAGCGGAAGAGCUAGCUUCAGUUUCAUCAGAAAUAGACUGCACCAAAGUGUUAGAGAAAGUGUAGUCUGGCCAGAAUCUAUUAUAAAGGCUAGCACUGCUUCCCAUUUUCAGCUUAAAGACAGCAUCAUUUCUAUAAGACCAAAUGUGCCAAAUUGCAAUAGAAAAAAUUCUUUGUCAUUGAUUAGACCCAUUUAAAUUAUAAGCCACCCACUCAUGCCAAGACAAGGAGUAAAAUUUGAUAAAUUCAAGAUCAAAAACUGAAGGAUGAUAUUGAAAAAGCAUAGACCAGAACGCAGAAGUACUAUAGCAAUCUCUAAAAAGAUGUAAGUUGUCUUCAUUGGAAGUGGUGCACCUGAUACAGAUAGGAUUGAAAUUCUGGAUUUUAACAGCUAAAGUUUGAGCUACAGGAAGAAUGGAGUGACAGACAUUCCAAAGUAACAUCUUAUAUUUGUAAGGAAUGUUAAUUUUCCAGAGUUUUUUCCAGCAAACAUUAAUAAGACAAGCAUUGGAAUGGGAGCUAGCAGUAGAAUUAUAUGCUGACUUAAUGGUGAAGGUUCCUUUUUUAUCCAAAAUCCAUCUUAACGAAUCCUUGGCAGCAGAUAAAGUUGAGAGGGGAGUAGCCUUUAUGAUACUGCAAAUAUGAGAGGGGAGUAAAUGCUGGAUUCUAGUAAGAUCCCAAGCGUUAUUAUUAAUGAUAUGGGAAACCCUCAGGUGGGCAAGAGAUUCAGGAAUAACAAUAUUGGGAAGCUGAUAAAGAGGACAUUGACCAACCCAGUGAUUGAACCAAAGCGAAGUGUCUUCACCAUUCCCAAUACUAAUAAUCAUGCCUUUUUUAACAAUUUCCCUUCCUUUGAGAAUAUCUUUCCAAAUAGAAGAAGAGUUGGAAUUUGGGAAACAGUCAUUGAAAUUUGAAGUUUUUAGAUACCUAGAACUUAGGAUUUUAACCCAAAGUUUAUCAGGUUGAGUCAGGAUUUUCCAACCUAAUUUAGCCAUAAAAGCAAGAUUCCAACGUUUUAAAUUUCUAAUUCCCAAUCCCCCCAGAUUGAUAGGAUCACAAACUCUAUCCCAACUGGUUCUUGGGAUAUACCUAGACCUAUCCACCCUAUUCCAUAGGAAUUUUUUGCAUCUAGACUCAAGCUCUUGGAUAACAGUAGCAGGGAGGAUGCAAGUUUGCAUUUCAUAUAAAGGAUAAGCAUUAAGAACAGAUUUGAUAAGUGUACAUCUACCUGCCAUAUUGAGAAGUUUAGCCUGCCACCCCCUAAUCUUAGAGGUAGUUUUAUCUAAGAGGUUAAAAAAAUCCUCCUUUUUAAGUCUAGUAGGGGAUAUAUUGCAACCAAGAUACUUACCAAAGGAAAUAGUGUCCUUAAAGGGACACACCAUACGAAUAGAAUUCCUAACAUUGAAAUUUGUUUUCUUUGGGAAGAUAAUGGAUGAUUUAUCAUGAUUAACAUUUAACCCUGAUAUUUUCCCAAAUUCUUGUAAGCAUUGAAGCAUUACAUCAAUGUUAGUGGUGGUUGCCUUCCCAAAUAGGAAAACAUCAUCAGCAUAGAAAAGAUGGGAAAUAGACACCUCUUUAGAUAUGCGCAAAGGUUUCCAAAGUUUUCCAGAAACUCUACCUUCUAUCAUUUGAGAGAGUCUUUCUAAGCAAAGAACAAAAAUAUAAGGAGAUAAAGGAUCCCCUUGUCUGAUUCCCCUUGAAGGAACAAAGGAUUCAGUAAUUUGGCCAUUCCAAAGGACAGAUAUAGUUGCUGAAGAAAUACAGCUCAUAAUUAGGUCAAUCAGACUAGCAGGAAAAUUGAACCAGAUCAAGGUAUCCCUAAUGAAACCCCAUUCCAGACUAUCAAACGCUUUGCUAAGAUCAAUUUUUAGAGCCAUACUUUUGUUCUUUUUACUAGCCUUAUUGAAAAUAUGAGAUAUCUCCUUUAUAAUGAUGAUGUUUUCAUCAAUAGUUCUGUUCAUUAUAAAGCUGGAUUGAAGAGGACUAAUAAGAUCAGGAAGAAGUGGUUUAAUCCUGUUAGAAAUGAUUUUUGUAAUCAACUUAUAGAUAGAAUUGCAAAGACCAAUAGGUCUGAAUUCUUUCAUACAAGAAGGGAUAUCAGUUUUAGGAAUUAGACAUAGAUAGGAGUGACUAAUUUCAGUAGGAAUGCAGUUCGAAUUGAAACAGUCUUGAACAAAAUUGAUGAUGGAUUGAUUCAAUUGUUUCCAGAACUUUUGAAGAAAUAAGGGUUGAAUUCCAUCAGGCCCCGGGCUCUUAAUGGGAUUCAUUUGAAAUAAAGUUAAUUUAAUUUCUUCAGCAGUAGGAGCACUUGUAACUAAACUGGAGUGAAUAUUGUCAAUGGAACAAACAGGAUGAACAUUCCUAAGGCUACAGAUAUGAGUUGAAGUGAAGAUCUUUUGAAAGUAAAGUCUUGCCAUAGAUUUGAGUACAUUCUGGUCAUGGAUCCAGAUAUCAUCCUCAUUUUUUAAACAAAUGAUUUUACUCCUAGACUUUUUAACUUUGGCAAUGGUGUGGAAAUAUUUUGUGUUCCAGUCUGCAAAUUUUCUCCAAUUCAAACCUGCCUUCUGAGCCCAAAUAGUUCUUUCCAUGUGAUAGAUUUUAUUGAGCUCAGCAAGGAGAGUUUUUUCGAGAUCAAAAAGAAAAGGGGAGAAAUGUCUUGCCAGGCUAAUUUGGAUACCAUCAAUCCUCUUCAAUAAUUUUUUCUUUUUUAAGGUGAUGUUUCCAAAAAUAUUCUUAUUCCAAUCAUGCACUUUAGAUAAAAAGUUAUUACGACCAUUGAUGAAAUGCAUACUUUCUUCCUUCCAACUAUUAACAAAAAAAUCAGGAAAUGAUUCAUGCGAAAGCCAGAUUUCUUUACAACGAAAGGGGAAGGGGCCAGGCAAUUUAUCAUUAAAAACAGAAACAAGAACAGGGCAAUGAUCAACUACAUAUGUAUAUGGUCAGUGACUCACUGGGACUUUUUAUGCAAGUAGGAAGGAGGGUAUCAUGGUCAUUUUGUUGCUGUAAGUUGUUGUAUCACACAGGAGAGAGAGUUUAGUGCACUGUGCUGGGUGAUUUAUUUAUACUCUGUAUGUAUCAUAUGGAUUUAAGUUAGGAGGUUUUGAGAGAAGACUGUCCUAACUUUUGUGUGAUUUUCCUUUUAAAAAAAAUGUAUCAAGUGGAUUGCAAACGAAGUUUGUGCCAAAAAUAUUGUGAAAAAUGUAAGGUUUUGGAAUGGGUUGCAAACGAAGUGUGUGCCAAAAAUAUUGUGAAAAUGUAAGGUUUUGGAACGUUCUAACAUAUAUACAUAUAUUACUCCGUAUUGAUCUUUA